AUUGAACGCUGGCGGCAGGCCUAACACGUGCAAGUCGAGCGGUAACACAGGGAGCUUGCUCCUGGGUGACGAGCGGCGGACGGGUGAGUAAUGUCUGGGAAACUGCCUGAUGGAGGGGGAUAACUACUGGAAAAGGUAGCUAAUACCGCAUAACGUCGCAAGACCAAAGAGGGGGACCUUCGGGCCUCUUGCCAUCAGAUGUGCCCAGAUGGGAUUAGCUAGUAGGUGGGGUAACGGCUCACCUAGGCGACGAUCCCUAGCUGGUCUGAGAGGAUGACCAGCCAAACUGGAACGGAGACACGGUCCAGACUCCUACGGGAGUCAGCAGUGGGGAAUAUUGCACAAUGGGCGCAAGCCUGAUGCAGCCAUGCCGCGUGUAUGAAGAAGGCCUUCGGGUUGUAAAGUACUUUCAGCGGGGAGGAAGGCGAUAAGGUUAAUAACCUUGUCGAUUGACGUUACCCGCAGAAGAAGCACCGGCUAACUCCGUGCCAGCAGCCGCCGUAA
RNAcentral lists this ribosomal RNA (504 nucleotides) under uncultured bacterium. RNAcentral's name for it is "partial 16S ribosomal RNA". It matches the Rfam family "Bacterial small subunit ribosomal RNA", at positions 30 to 523 of the family's 1533-position model. The record is from RNAcentral.